GCCGGGCGUGGUGGUGCAUGCCUGCAAUCCCAGCUACUCGGGAGGCUGAGGUAGGAGAAUUGCUUGAACCCAGGAGGUGGAGGGUGCAGUGAAUGAGAUCGCACCACUGUAUCACUGCACUUUACCCUGGGCUAUAGAGCAAGACUCCGCCCCAA
Molecule: unclassified non-coding RNA, 155 nt
Organism: Macaca fascicularis (crab-eating macaque)
Lineage: Eukaryota; Metazoa; Chordata; Mammalia; Primates; Cercopithecidae
Rfam family: Metazoan signal recognition particle RNA
About the family: The signal recognition particle (SRP) is a universally conserved ribonucleoprotein. It is involved in the co-translational targeting of proteins to membranes.
Source: Ensembl